Molecule: long non-coding RNA, 208 nt
Filed under: Elaeis guineensis (African oil palm)
Lineage: Eukaryota; Viridiplantae; Streptophyta; Magnoliopsida; Arecales; Arecaceae
Description: long non-coding RNA (EGUI_LNC001936)
Source: RNAcentral
CCAAUUUAAUUAAUAGCCUAAUUGGGUUAGCCAAUUCAACAAAAUUUUGACCAAAUCAGCUUGAUUAAGGAGCUAGGGUUUGUGCCAAAAGUGCUAGCUUGCUUCCCGACAACCCUAGUUGGUUCUUUUGGUCCAACCAACCAAUCAAAAUCUAUUCUUGAUUAAUUUUUUAAUGUGUGUGACCCUAUGGGCUCCACAUCUAGCUACC